RNAcentral lists this ribosomal RNA (528 nucleotides) under uncultured bacterium. Its description in RNAcentral is "bacterial SSU rRNA". It matches the Rfam family "Bacterial small subunit ribosomal RNA", at positions 777 to 1301 of the family's 1533-position model. The record is from RNAcentral.
AAUAGAUACCCGGGUAGUCCACGCCGUAAACGAUGGGUGCUAGGUGUCGCGGGCUUUGACCCCUGCGGUGCCGUAGCUAACGCAUUAAGCACCCCGCCUGGGGAGUACGGUCGCAAGAUUAAAACUCAAAGGAAUUGACGGGGACCCGCACAAGCGGUGGAUGAUGUGGUUUAAUUCGAUGCAACGCGAAAAACCUUACCCACCUUUGACAUGUACGGAAUUCCGCAGAGAUGUGGAAGUGCUCGAAAGAGAACCGUAACACAGGUGCUGCAUGGCUGUCGUCAGCUCGUGUCGUGAGAUGUUGGGUUAAGUCCCGCAACGAGCGCAACCCCCAUCAGUAGUUGCCAUCAGGUAACGCUGGGAACUCUACUGAAACUGCCGUCGUAAGACGCGAGGAGGGAGGGGAUGAUGUCAAGUCAUCAUGGCCUUUAUGCCCAGGGCUACACACGUGCUACAAUGGGGCGUACAAAGGGCUGCCACUUAGCGAUAAGGAGCCAAUCCCAAAAAACGCCUCUCAGUUCAGAUCGC